Molecule: long non-coding RNA, 901 nt
Organism: Artibeus jamaicensis (Jamaican fruit-eating bat)
Lineage: Eukaryota; Metazoa; Chordata; Mammalia; Chiroptera; Phyllostomidae
Exons: 3
Source: RefSeq, a predicted model, not a curated record
UCUGAAUUCCAGGGCACCACUUCCUCUAAAGUAGGUUCCUCUCUAAACCCCCAGUGGGACUGUGCAGUGUGAGAUCUUGAAGAAGGAGCUUCCUAAUUACCACCAAGGACCAAUGGGGACCCUGGGAUCUGACGAAUCAGGUCCCAGGCAUUACUUGGCACUUCGAAGUAGCUCCCAAAAUUGCAGACAGAGGCUCCAGAGGAAAUUGUCAGUCUCUACAAGACUUGCCUGGUGUUUGCAAAACUUAUUCGAUGACAUCACAAGAAAGACUUGGCAAGUAGGAUAAGGGAGUCUGGCCAGUGAAGACAGACAGAAGCCUGCAGGCAUGGGUUCAGGCAGGACAGAAACGGAGAUUGCCAAUAGGUGGGGGUGAGGACAGAGCCAAGCACCUUGGAAGGAGAGGGAACAACCAGUUGGCAUUACCGAACACGUUCACAAACACGGUCCUCCUGUAUCCUCAGCAGCCCUGUAAGAGAUACUGAGCUCAAACGCCACGUCCUCCAAGAAGCUCUGCUGCAUCUACACAGCUAGGAAGGCAUCUUCCUCCGCUGAACCCCAGGACAUCCUCGUUAGUGCAGACUCCAUCCCAAGCCACAACUGAUACCCGACGCCUGGAUAUUGGAACUGAGAAAUUAACUGGCCUGUUUCUCAUUGUUGGAGCCACGAGAUGUGAAAAAUAAAAGCUGUUGGCCACGAUUCUCUCUGCCACAAAAGGAACCCUGUCUGCCGCUAGAGAGAGAAAACAGUUCACACAGACAGGGACAGAGGGACAGACAGACAGAGACCCAUUUGUUCUGGAAAUUUUCUGCCCUUGUCAGGAGUGGCUGGUCGGUUGACCCCACUGUCCACUACGUAACCCCCAGUAAAAUCUUCUUCCAAUAAAUCUUUCUUUAUUAAGGUG